RNAcentral lists this ribosomal RNA (265 nucleotides) under uncultured bacterium. RNAcentral describes it as "partial 16S ribosomal RNA". It matches the Rfam family "Bacterial small subunit ribosomal RNA", at positions 89 to 354 of the family's 1533-position model. The record is from RNAcentral.
UCUUUAGUGGCGGGCGGGUGAGUAACGCGUGGGUAACCUGCCUUACACAGGGGGAUAACACUUAGAAAUAGGUGCUAAUACCGCAUAAGCGCACAGUCCCGCAUGGGACAGUGUGAAAAACUGAGGUGGUGUAAGAUGGACCCGCGUCUGAUUAGCUAGUUGGUGGGGUAACGGCCCACCAAGGCGACGAUCAGUAGCCGGCCUGAGAGGGUGGACGGCCACAUUGGGACUGAGACACGGCCCAAACUCCUACGGAAGGCAGCAG